Long non-coding RNA from Topomyia yanbarensis, 227 nucleotides. RefSeq lists it as uncharacterized. The record is from RefSeq and is a predicted model, not a curated record. Lineage: Eukaryota; Metazoa; Arthropoda; Insecta; Diptera; Culicidae. The transcript has 3 exons.
UUUUACAGCUUGUUGUCAGUAAAUCCGGAGACAGAUAUGGAAUCGUAUAACACCGCGGGAGCAACUUCCUCGUCCAACGGCCAGUAUGAUAUGGUGAUACUGGACAACGGCAAUGCGCAAAGUGUACUGUUCACCUACACACCCCAUUAACCCAUUUCAGAUGGUAGUACAUCGUAAAUAACAUUGUUAAAAACUAAUGUGUUAGUUUGUACUAAUUAUUACAUCCG